Vombatus ursinus (common wombat) is the source of this 833-nucleotide long non-coding RNA. RefSeq lists it as uncharacterized. Lineage: Eukaryota; Metazoa; Chordata; Mammalia; Diprotodontia; Vombatidae. The transcript is spliced from 2 exons. The record is from RefSeq and is a predicted model, not a curated record.
AUAACAAAAUUAGAAAAUUGUAAAACUUACUGAAUAAUAAAAUAAUGAAAUAGUAAAAUGGUAUAACUGAUGUCUUUCAACUCGAGCAUAAAUUGGAUUUAAGUGAGGCAGUGUUGUGUGAAAUCAUCAGCCCUGCUCCUUCUUCCAAUCGCUGGCGCCCAACAGCAAGACAAAAGUCAAGAUGACUGGUGAUGGCUCUGGAUGCAGUGGAUGACCUUGACGUCUUGGGUGUCUGACCACGCUCUAAGAGCUCCAUGGUGCCUGCUUCAGCUGCCUUCAUGGGCCAUUGAAACAAAAUGUUCUUAUCCACCCACUCUACUGUGGGAAGGCUUCACCUGCUUGGGGCACAUACUUCCUCACCUCCAGUAGGUGGAGGCCCGUCGGGAACCCUCAACCUGGUUUAGCCCAUCUGCAAAGAUGGUUUUACUGGAAUGUGGCCACUGCGCAUGCUACAGCUUCUUGGAACCACAGAGUGGAGUAGGCCUUUGUGAGUCAAGGCACGAGACUGGAGGAGCUUUGUGAAUUUGGAGAGAGUUAGCCCUGGCAAGCAAGAAUUGAGCUCAGGAAUCUCAGUUGAAUGACCUGCCAAGCAGAGAUACCGCAUUCAGGGGGAACCUCAUGAAGACACUAUAAGAAGGAAAGAACGUUGUGCUCCUGCAGUCAGAGGUGUGAGUUUCCUGCAUGUGCACCUCUCUAUUCUUACAUUCUAUAUGUGUGUCCAUUCUUCCCACUGAUGCUGUGUGGGAUGGGAAGACAGUGACCCAGGUUUAAGGAGGAAAUGAUUUGUUUCUAUUUUUCAUGCUUUGCCACUUCAGUAAAUAUCUUUAUUUUGA